RNAcentral lists this ribosomal RNA (471 nucleotides) under uncultured soil bacterium. RNAcentral describes it as "bacterial SSU rRNA". It matches the Rfam family "Bacterial small subunit ribosomal RNA", at positions 26 to 518 of the family's 1533-position model. The record is from RNAcentral.
AGGACGAACGCUGGCGGCGUGCUUAACACAUGCAAGUCGAGCGGUAAGGCCUUUCGGGGUACACGAGCGGCGAACGGGUGAGUAACACGUGGGUGAUCUGCCCUGCACUUCGGGAUAAGCCUGGGAAACUGGGUCUAAUACCGGAUAUGACCUCAGGUUGCAUGACUUGGGGUGGAAAGAUUUAUCGGUGCAGGAUGGGCCCGCGGCCUAUCAGCUUGUUGGUGGGGUAAUGGCCUACCAAGGCGACGACGGGUAGCCGACCUGAGAGGGUGACCGGCCACACUGGGACUGAGACACGGCCCAGACUCCUACGGGAGGCAGCAGUGGGGAAUAUGCACAAUGGGCGAAAGCCUGAUGCAGCGACGCCGCGUGAGGAUGACGGCCUUCGGGUGUAACUCUUUCAGCAGGACGAAGCGCAAGUGACGUACCUGCAGAAGAAGACAACCGGCUAACUACGUAGCCAGCAGCCGC